UCUCCGUAGGUGAACCUGCGGAGGGAUCACUACAGGCUUGCAAAAGCUCUGAAACCACUGUUUAUCUACCUGAAUCUGCUUCGGCGGGCGGCCCCAGGGCGGGGUCGUAGCCGCAAGGCGCCCGCCGAAGACCCCUAAACGCUGUCUUCUUGAGAAUCUGUGAGUAUCAUUUUUAACAUAAAACAACUUUCAACAACGGAUCUCUUGGCUCUG
This 213-nucleotide unclassified non-coding RNA is filed under the name plant metagenome. Its description in RNAcentral is "partial contains small subunit ribosomal RNA, internal transcribed spacer 1, and 5.8S ribosomal RNA". The record is from RNAcentral.